CCUACGGGAGGCAGCAGUGGGGAAUAUUGGGCAAUGGGCGCAAGCCUGACCCAGCAACGCCGCGUGAAGGAAGAAGGCUUUCGGGUUGUAAACUUCUUUUCUCAGGGACGAAGCAAGUGACGGUACCUGAGGACUAAGCCACGGCUAACUACGUGCCAGCAGCCGCGGUAAUACGUAGGUGGCAAGCGUUAUCCGGAUUUACUGGUGGUAAAGGGCGUGUAGGCGGGGACGCAAGUCAGAUGUGAAAACCACGGGCUCAACCUGUGGCCUGCAUUUGAAACUGUGUUUCUUGAGUACUGGAGAGGCAGAAGGAAUUCCUAGUGUAGCGGUGAAAUGCGUAGAUAUUAGGAGGAACACCAGUGGCGAAGGCGGUCUGCUGGACAGCAACUGACGCUGAGGCGCGAAAGCGUGGGGAGCAAACAGGAUUAGAUACCCUUGUAGUC
RNAcentral lists this ribosomal RNA (443 nucleotides) under uncultured bacterium. Its description in RNAcentral is "partial 16S ribosomal RNA". It matches the Rfam family "Bacterial small subunit ribosomal RNA", at positions 338 to 795 of the family's 1533-position model. The record is from RNAcentral.